UUCAAUAUAGCUUAAAAUUUAAAAAGCAACGAUUUUGUAAAUCGAAGAUAUUAUUUAUUGUUU
This 63-nucleotide transfer RNA is filed under the name Planorbis carinatus. RNAcentral's name for it is "tRNA-Thr". Lineage: Eukaryota; Metazoa; Mollusca; Gastropoda; Planorbidae. The record is from RNAcentral.